GAUGAACGCUAGCGGCAGGCCUAAUACAUGCAAGUCGAACGGGAUCCAGAUCAAAGCUUGCUUUAGUCUGGUGAGAGUGGCGCACGGGUGCGUAACGCGUGAGCAACCUACCCUUGUCAGGGGGAUAGCCCGGCGAAAGUCGGAUUAAUACCGCAUGACAUCAUUGAGAGGCAUCUUUCGAUGAUCAAAGAUUUAUCGGACAAGGAUGGGCNCGCGUGACAUUAGCUAGUUGGUAAGGUAACGGCUUACCAAGGCUGCGAUGUCUAGGGGCUCUGAGAGGAGAAUCCCCCACAC
RNAcentral lists this ribosomal RNA (294 nucleotides) under uncultured bacterium. RNAcentral describes it as "partial 16S ribosomal RNA". It matches the Rfam family "Bacterial small subunit ribosomal RNA", at positions 28 to 313 of the family's 1533-position model. The record is from RNAcentral.